Molecule: ribosomal RNA, 564 nt
Filed under: uncultured bacterium
Lineage: Bacteria
Description: partial 16S ribosomal RNA
Rfam family: Bacterial small subunit ribosomal RNA
Source: RNAcentral
UGGGGAAUAUUGCACAAUGGGCGCAAGCCUGAUGCAGCCAUGCCGCGUGUGUGAAGAAGGCCUUCGGGUUGUAAGCACUUUCAGCGAGGAGGAAGGUGGUGAGCUUAAUACGCUCAUCAAUUGACGUUACUCGCAGAAGAAGCACCGGCUAACUCCGUGCCAGCAGCCGCGGUAAUACGGAGGGUGCAAGCGUUAAUCGGAAUUACUGGGCGUAAAGCGCACGCAGGCGGUUUGUUAGGUCAGAUGUGAAAUCCCCGGGCUCAACCUGGGAACUGCAUUUGAAACUGGCAAGCUAGAGUCUCGUAGAGGGGGGUAGAAUUCCAGGUGUAGCGGUGAAAUGCGUAGAGAUCUGGAGGAAUACCGGUGGCGAAGGCGCCCCCUGGACGAAGACUGACGCUCAGGUGCGAAAAGCGUGGGGAGCAAAACAGGAUUAGAUACCCUGGUAGUCCACGCUGUAAAACGAUGUCGAUUUGGAGGUUGUGCCCCUUGAGGCGUGGGNUUCCGGAGCUAACGNGUUAAAUCGACCGCCNGGGGNGUACGGCCGCAAGGUUAAAAACUUAAAUG